UGAUUAUUUUUUGCCGGAAGUGCUGUGU
RNAcentral lists this small RNA (28 nucleotides) under Bombyx mori (domestic silkworm). RNAcentral describes it as "piRNA piR-bmo-1369193". The record is from RNAcentral. Lineage: Eukaryota; Metazoa; Arthropoda; Insecta; Lepidoptera; Bombycidae.